AUCGGUAUGACAUAAUUUGCCGCGAGAUUCGUCUCUGUAUAUCUCUCCUCUGUGACUAAAGUUCUGUUAACUAAAUUUAACCGUUUGGUUUUGUUUGCUACGCGUGCAUGCUUGCACGUUUGUCCGUAAUGUAUGAUGGCGCACGUUGUUCGAUUGCACGCGAGUGUAUUUUCCCGCCAGAUAUUGUUUUCGACGGACGCAAUUCGAAAAUAUUUCGCUUCUUUUGUUGAGCAGCGAGUUAUUUUUAAAUUUCAUGAUGUAAAGUUUUUCGUCGCUACACAAAUUGCACUGAUUACGUCCCGAUCUGUAUGCACUCGAAUGUUUUAAGAUGGUCCAUUUAAUUUCGUAUGGGCGAUUGCUUUUCUUCAAACUCCAGAUGUACUUCGACAAUUCAGUGCAUUAGCAUACUUAUCGAUGUUGAACCAUUUCUGGUGGUUCCUAAAACGCUCCUUGAAAGUUGUAGCCUUAAUUCCAAUAUAGCCUAAUGCCUUGUCCUCUGCUGCGAUCUUUGCAUGUUAGACAAUGCCCUUGGUUAAGCGUUUCUUGUUGAGAGGACACGUAUUCUUAUCUCUGCAGUUGCAUGUUUUGUUGGCGGGUGGUGUUGGUUUUAAUGGUGGUGUUGGCGUUAACGUUGGUGAUUGGGGAGGUGGUGGUAGUGAUGGAGCUUUUGAAAGGAUCUUACUGUUAUGACUGGAUAUCACGGAUUUCACGUUUAUCAUUUGGAAAACAAUAAAUACACAUUUCUUUCUCAUAUAAUUAAUUGACAAAACGGCGUUGGCCGCCAUGUCGAAAAUUGCUUAAAAGCAGUGGUGGAUCCAGCAAAGUUUUUUUUUUUGUUUUUUUUUUGGGGGGGGGGUGCUAACCAAUGGCAAAACGAGCGCCGAAGGCGCGAGAUUUCUAGUGUGGUCCGGGGGCAUAGUCCCCGGAAAAUUUUUAAAAUUUGGGUCUCUGUCUGAAAUGGCAUUUCCAGCAUUCUGAGAAAACAUUCUGGAAAAUUUUUAGAUUCUCAAAACAUUUAAAAAUUCAGAAUAUUUAAUAUUGGCUAUUCCGCUAUUAUCAACUAGUGAUACGCAACUGAAUUCCUUAACAUAACUUGGUUAGAAUUAGGAUAAACGUCAUUUUUGCCCCCCCACCCCACCCCAUGCACCCCUGUUGACCAGACCCUGGGGGGGGGGGUGUACCCCAAAUCCACCACUGCUUAUAGGUGAUUAUCGCGUUAUAAUCACCUCAACGGCAACCAAUCAGCGUGAAUUUUCAAUGAUCACCUAUG
Non-coding RNA from Paramuricea clavata, 1270 nucleotides. Lineage: Eukaryota; Metazoa; Cnidaria; Anthozoa; Malacalcyonacea; Plexauridae. The record is from the annotation of a GenBank genome assembly.